GUUCUUCCUCACUUAAUAUUAUAGAUUUUAUGUCAUUUAUAGCAGUUUAAAUAUAGUACAGAAACACGUUGUUGCUAUAAUACAUUACUUUUAUCUUUUAUUUCUCAGCGUGCGUUCCAAAAAUGCCCCUAUCUCCUAUUCCUAACCAGUGAUGGGAAUAAUGGCGUUACAAGUAGCGUUGUUAUUAACAGCAUGAUUGCUGCUGUUUGACUGAGGAAGAAUAAAUGAGUCGUGGUAAGCCAAUCCUAUGACCACUUUAAAAUGACAAAGCAACAAGGUGAUAUAUACCAAGUUUUAAAUUGUGUUGAUGGGCCACGUAAAACCAGAGUCAUGAUAAACAGUAAAAAUAUAACGUUUUCUACUCGGAUUUUAUGUUUUUUGUCCGAUUUUAGAUCAAAUGUGUUAAUACAGUAUGUCAAAAUAAAAACAUAACCGUAAAUUCAGACACGUGAGGUUGUGCUGAAAAGAAUGAGACCAAGCAAGGCAAGUAAAUAGUUUUUAAAGGUGAAAUGUAGAGGUCAAAUCAAAAGUAGUUAAAAAUGGCCAAUUAUACCCUGGGCCCCAGAGGGUUAAAGAUUUUUUUUUUAAGUAACGCAAUAGUUACUUUUCAAGUAAUUAAUUACUUUUAGUAUCUUGUAACUCACUAACUCAGUUACUUUUUUGUAGAAGUAACUAGUACCUAUAAUUAAUUACCUUUUCAAAGUAACUUGUCCAACACUGUUCCUAACCUCUUUUUAUUGAUCUCAAUACAAGCACCAUAGAGGUCAAGGAAAAGUGCAUACGAGAAUUGCUAAGGACUCAGGAAAAGAGAAGAGUUGUGCGUUGAGGUCAGGUUGCAGCAACUCCACUGUCUGCACGACCCGUCAUAGAUGAAUCCUCUCACCGUCCUUCUCAUUUUGUCUCUUAAUUCGGCAUCUACAGGCUUAAAAGAGAUAGAUGUGCAGGCAGACAGGAACGCCCAGCUGGAGUGUCAGGGUCCUAAAAAAGCCAAACUUGUCCUGUUAGAGUGGAAAAGACUUGAUCUGUUGUCGGAUGGAUACGUCUUCUUCUACCGAGAUGGUCAUCUUCAUAAAACCUUCCAGCAUCCAACUUUUAGAGAUCGAGUGGAACUGAGAGAUCCGCAGAUGAAAAAUGGGAACAUGUCCAUCAUUUUGUCCAACACCACAAUUAAAGACACUGGAACGUAUGAGUGUCGUAUCAUCGCACAAAACACAAGAGACAGUAGCAGCUCUGCCUUUGAGAUCAAGCAUGAAAUCAAGCUGACAGUUGUUCCUCCAGGUCGGGCACAAGAGGUCACCGUACUUAGAGAUGAGGAGAAUGGAGGUAUGGACGUUGGGAACAAGGAUGAAAGAGAUGGAGGAUUUAUUGGACUAACAGGUGGUCUGUUAGCUUUGGUGGUGAUUCUUGUUGUUUUGUUUUCUUACAAUGUGUUCUUUUCCUCCUGUUGGAAAAGAAAGUUCAUAAAGCACAACAGAUGUGUUUUUGGGAAGAUAUGACAAAACGGUCGCAAAAGUGACAAACUAACAGCAAUUGGUUAAUUGCCAACAUGCAUUUAAAAUAUUAUAUGAAUCAUGUCAUUAAAACACACAUUGCGUGCAUCUUCUGUUUUCUUCUAAGCAUGUGCAGUCGUUUGCAUUUUUUGUUCCAUCACAGUAUUGUUACCCCAACACAAGCCCGUGGGGAGUAGGGUUGCUGAGGUUUGCUGCUCCAACCCUUGUCGCAAAAACAAAUGUCUUCAGAAAUGUUUUAUUUAGGAAGUAGAAUUAAUUAAUGAAACAAGUAAAAAAGGUUUUUCUCCCCCUGUAAAGCAUUAUAGUCAAAUAACAUGCAUACUAGAUACCAGUACAAGUGGUGUAAUUUACAAAAAGAGCUAACAGACAACAGCUGUCACCAGCUAAAUGCUCUCCCUAACAUUUUGAACACUUUGGACAUCACUGCUCCUCCUGAGGAAAUUUAUCACCAAAACUUAAAGUCACAUUUAGAGUAUUAAUAUCACACACUCAGACAAAGGUUACAUUUUAGCUUAUUAUGAGAUGUCAUCACAAAGUUUAACAUUAUACUUAAGCAAUAAUUUCACCUUCCCACUUUUGUUUCCAAAGGGUUCUUGACUAUGUGUGUAAAUUUGACUUUUGGCUGAGUGAAAUAUCCAUAUAUGACUUGGUUCUGUUACAUUUUGGCUCUUUAUGUGAGCACCGGGAUCUGUAACUGGGGCUACACUGACUAGAGUAGUACACCAAUCCAGUGUUGAGUAGCACAGAGCUGUUGCCUUAAAUAGUGGCAGGAAAAUGCAGGAACACGGGUUACUUGCAGGUGCGUAGGUCAAAUGCGGGGACCUCUAAUAAGUUCUACCCAGUUGGAGAGGAGUGGAAGAGAGAGAGAGAGAGAGAGAGCAACAUAACAAAAACCCAGCUGACAUCAAGACAUCUGCCCGUUCAUCACUGGGAUGAGAAAGUGUUGCAGCUCUCAGUCUGACAAAACCUGCAAAUAUACACAUUGUUCAAAUGACUUGAUAUCUUCCACAAAAGAUAUGUUUGACAUGGACCAACAACAGUUAAAAUACUGGAAAUCACUUUUUGGCAAUUUGAUAAAUAAAUGAAUUUUUGGGAAAACUGUGAACUAUGAGAUUUAUUUUAACACAGUUACCUGCUUUUUUAAAAUAAUUUUAUUACUGGUCCUGGUGGCAAAAAUAAACUUCAUAAACUUACCUUUCUAAAUGCUGUAACACUUUCAUUUGUGG
Long non-coding RNA from Astatotilapia calliptera (eastern happy), 2737 nucleotides. NCBI's taxonomy places the organism in Eukaryota, Metazoa, Chordata, Actinopteri, Cichliformes, Cichlidae. The record is from Ensembl.